CAACCCUCAAGCGCUGCUUGGUAUUGGAUGUCACUACUGUAGUGCAUCUCAAAGUUAUUGUUGGUGCCAGCAUUCAGCUUCUGGUGUAGUAAAUUUCUCGCCAUGGAGUUUAUGUCUGACUGCCAGAACCCCUAAUUAUCAAA
RNAcentral lists this unclassified non-coding RNA (143 nucleotides) under uncultured Helotiales. RNAcentral describes it as "sequence contains ITS2". Lineage: Eukaryota; Fungi; Ascomycota; Leotiomycetes; Helotiales. The record is from RNAcentral.